RNAcentral lists this ribosomal RNA (440 nucleotides) under uncultured bacterium. RNAcentral describes it as "partial 16S ribosomal RNA". It matches the Rfam family "Bacterial small subunit ribosomal RNA", at positions 338 to 795 of the family's 1533-position model. The record is from RNAcentral.
CCUACGGGAGACAGCAGUGGGGAAUAUUGCACAAUGGGGGAAACCCUGAUGCAGCGACGCCGCGUGAGUGAAGAAGUAAUUCGGUAUGUAAAGCUCUAUCAGCAGGGAAGAAAAUGACGGUACCUGAGUAAGAAGCCCCGGCUAACUACGUGCCAGCAGCCGCGGUAAUACGUAGGGGGCAAGCGUUAUCCGGAUUUACUGGGUGUAAAGGGAGCGUAGACGGCAAUGCAAGUCUGGAGUGAAAGGCGGGGGCCCAACCCCCGGACUGCUCUGGAAACUGUGUGGCUGGAGUGCAGGAGAGGUAGGUGGAAUUCCUAGUGUAGCGGUGAAAUGCGUAGAUAUCAGGAGGAACACCGGUGGCGAAGGCGGCAUACUGGACUGUAACUGACGUUGAGGCUCGAAAGCGUGGGGAGCAAACAGGAUUAGAUACCCCAGUAGUC